Molecule: long non-coding RNA, 2287 nt
Organism: Oncorhynchus nerka (sockeye salmon)
Lineage: Eukaryota; Metazoa; Chordata; Actinopteri; Salmoniformes; Salmonidae
Exons: 2
Source: RefSeq, a predicted model, not a curated record
UGGAUAAUCUCAUCUCAACUUGACAAACCGGGUCAGAAAUCACAAUAUUCUAAACCCAAAGUAUUCUCACAGGAAAGUUAGUUGUAAUCAAAAUGGUUAGAAUCAUUAAGAAGCAACAAAUGUUUAGAGGUCAGUGGCUUUCAGUUUCAGUGAAUGGUCAUAUUGACCCUCCAUAGGUGGUCUGAGAAUGUGUAUAUCCUCACAACAUAGUCGCUCCCGUAGUAUUUGUAUUUAUUAUGGAUCCCCGCUACCUGCUGCCAAAGCAGCAGCUACUCUUCCUGGGGUCCAGCAAAAAUUAAGGCAGUUUAUACAAUUUUAAAAACAUUACAAUACAUUCACAGAUUUCACAACACACUGUGUGCCCUCAGGCCCCUACUCCACCACUACCACAUAUCUACAGUACUAUGUCCAUGUGUAUGUAUAGUGCGUAUGUUAUCGUAUGUGUGUGUGUGUAUAUGCAUGUGUCUGUGCCAAUGUUUGUGUUGCUUCACAGUCCCCGCUGUUUAAUAAGGUGUAUUUUUAUUUGUUUUUUAAAUCUAAUUUUACUGCUUGCUUCAGUUACUUGAUGUGGAAUAGAGUUCCAUGUAGUCAUGGCUCUAUGUAGUACUGUGUGCCUCCCAUAGUCUGUUCUGGACUUGGCGACUGUGAAGAGACCACUUGUGGCAUGUCUUGUGUGGUAUUGCACAAAACAGUAGGUACACACAAAACAAGGGUUGUUUGGGAAGGGUGAUGGCUCUAUGUGGAACCAUGCUGACCCAAAGAACCCUUGGAGCCCUUCAAUGCUUAUUUGCAGUUCAGAAAAGGGUUCUUUCCUCUUUUAGUGAUCAUUUAAAUGUAGGGGUGGUGGCUCAUUAGAAUCAUUUGUGGCAUGGUUUAGACACAACUUUUUUUGUGCAACCGUGAGUGAGAGAGUCAUUCCAGUUGAGUUAAUCUGUUGUGUUAUGCUAAAUCAUGUUAUAUAUGACUAUCUCUAGUGAAGGUGUAUUGUGAAAGACCCAAGCAUGGCUUCGGGUCAGUUGUGAAUGGUUUACUAACUUAGUCAGUAGUUCUCAAUUCUCUCCUCAGGGACCCCCUGCUAUUUACACAUGAUUCAACUUGUUAAUAAACAACAAUAAAACCUAUAGAAUUUGAACAAUAUAAUAUGGUUAUGAAAACAGAAUUAAACAGCCUGUAUGGUUCUACAAAGAACCAUUAAAAAGGGUUGUAACCAUAGCAGACCCCUAUUUUUUUGGUGCUAUAUAGAACCUUUUUUUAAUGGCUCUUUAGAGAAGCUUAUUAAAUGGUUCUUUAUAGCACCAUUCAGCUUCCAUUUAGAACCCGAUGAGCAUGGUUCCUUAUAGAACAAAUAAAAAUAUAGUUACAAGCAAAGUAACCUUUAUUUGGCACUCUAUAGAACCAUUUGUUUUUAGUGUGUACUAGGGAAGCUUCAACAACCACACCACGUACUGUAACCACUCCUAUGGUGGAGCAAUCAUAUUGUUGGAGUUUUGUUUAAAUGCACCAAGAGAAGACCAGUAGUGACCCUUAUAAAUAAGAGUUGUCCACGCUUUGUGUCUUUGUCUCCAUGUUUUCCUCCCAGUGUCUCCAAUGGGUGUGUCUCCUGGUUCUUUGUUGUUUGAGUUGUACUCCAUGUCCAUGUUGUCAUGCCUCAAAGACUGAAGGCAGGCACUUUCAACUUUCCAGUGAUAUUUAUAUGGAAUAUUGGCAAGGUAUAUUUUGAAUGCUUUCAUUUUUCAUGGUUUGAUGUUACAUUAUAGAGACUGAGAGCCAAAGUGGCAUUGCAUUGUUCCUGCCCAAGGGCCUUUUCUGCCCUGUGUUUUACAGAAUCAUUUAUUUGAUUUUCAAAUAGUUAGAUAGUAUGUCUGAGUCCAAAAUGGCAGGGUAUGAUGACAACACUUUGUCCCUCAAUGUGGUGCAGUGUAAUCUUUAGUGUGUGCUUUGAAUAACUGUUUUGUUAAAAUAGUGCCAUUUAAUUAAAAAGGUUUGAUCAGGUAUUAACAAUAUUCCUCUGACAGAGCAAAGAUGUGUAUCUUUAACAACAAAAAAUUGUGUCUCAAAAUUCAUUGGACCAAUGAAUGAUAUAUGACAAAAUGUAAGACAUAUUCAGUGCGUAUCAUAAGUACGUAUUCACCCGUUGGAUUUCAUCCCAUUUUGUUGAGUUACAAAGUGGGAUUGAAAUUCCAGAAUAUUUCAUUGUGAUUUGUCAUUGAUCUACACAUAAUACUCCAUUAAGUCAAAGUGAAAAGAAAAUUCAACACAUUUUCACAAAUUAAAUGACUAAAAUAUU